GAGUGGCAUCACUUGAUAUUGAAAACUCCGGUGGAUAGAGAUGGGCACGCGCAAGAUUAGAUAGUUGGUGAGGUAACGGCUCACCAAGUCUACGAUCUUUAGGGGGCCUGAGAGGGUGAUCCCCCACACUGGUACUGAGACACGGACCAGACUCCUACGGGAGGCAGCAGUGAGGAAUAUUGGACAAUGGGUGAGAGCCUGAUCCAGCCAUCCCGCGUGAAGGACGACGGCCCUAUGGGUUGUAAACUUCUUUUGUAUAGGGAUAAACCUAGAUACGUGUAUCUAGCUGAAGGUACUAUACGAAUAAGCACCGGCUAACUCCGUGCCAGCAGCCGCGGUAAUACGGAGGGUGCAAGCGUUAUCCGGAUUUAUUGGGUUUAAAGGGUCCGUAGGCGGAUUUGUAAGUCAGUGGUGAAAUCUCACAGCUUAACUGUGAAACUGCCAUUGAUACUGCAAGUCUUGAGUGUUGUUGAAGUAGCUGGAAUAAGUAGUGUAGCGGUGAAAUGCAUAGAUAUUACUUAGAACACCAAUUGCGAAGGCAGGUUACUAAGCAACAACUGACGCUGAUGGACGAAAGCGUGGGGAGCGAACAGGAUUAGAUACCCUGGUAGUCCACGCCGUAAACGAUGCUAACUCGUUUUUGGGCUUUUGGGUUCAGAGACUAAGCGAAAGUGAUAAGUUAGCCACCUGGGGAGUACGAACGCAAGUUUGAAACUCAAAGGAAUUGACGGGGGCCCGCACAAGCGGUGGAUUAUGUGGUUUAAUUCGAUGAUACGCGAGGAACCUUACCAAGGCUUAAAUGGGAAAUGACAGGUUUAGAAAUAGACUUUUCUUCGGACAUUUUUCAAGGUGCUGCAUGGUUGUCGUCAGCUCGUGCCGUGAGGUGUUAGGUUAAGUCCUGCAACGAGCGCAACCCCUGUCACUAGUUGCCAUCAUUAAGUUGGGGACUCUAGUGAGACUGCCUACGCAAGUAGAGAGGAAGGUGGGGAUGACGUCAAAUCAUCACGGCCCUUACGCCUUGGGCCACACACGUAAUACAAUGGCCGGUACAGAGGGCAGCUACACAGCGAUGUGAUGCAAAUCUCGAAAGCCGGUCUCAGUUCGGAUUGGAGUCUGCAACUCGACUCUAUGAAGCUGGAAUCGCUAGUAAUCGCGCAUCAGCCAUGGCGCGGUGAAUACGUUCCCGGGCCUUGUACACACCGCCCGUCAAGCCAUGGAAGUCUGGGGUACCUGAAGUCGGUGACCGUAACAGGAGCUGCCUAGGGUAAAACAGGUAACUAGGGCUAAGUCGUAACAAGGUAGCCGUACCGGAAGGUGCGGCUGGAACAUCUCAUUU
This 1336-nucleotide ribosomal RNA is filed under the name Chryseobacterium vietnamense. RNAcentral's name for it is "bacterial SSU rRNA". It matches the Rfam family "Bacterial small subunit ribosomal RNA", at positions 183 to 1533 of the family's 1533-position model. RNAcentral also lists the same sequence under 1 other name. Lineage: Bacteria; Pseudomonadati; Bacteroidota; Flavobacteriia; Flavobacteriales; Weeksellaceae. The record is from RNAcentral.